GUAUAAAUGCAAGUAAGGAUCCUUCUAAACCGGGGAUUAGGAGGGCUUGCUAAAACCUCUAAACUAACUCAAAGACAUAAAAACAAAGUUAAAAACGUUUGAAUAGACUCAAAGGACUCAAAACAAAUUCUAAAGACGCAAAACAACUUAAAAACACUCAAAAUUGCCUAAAAACACUUACUGGGCAGAUUUGACUCUAACACAACUUUGGACGAAAUUUGGGUUUUGACUUGAAUCAAAACACUCAAAAACACUAACGAAAUAGAAAUAUAACACUUUGAAACAACAAAGUAAAAUGGGGAUUUUGGUUUUGAUGAAUUUGAAACAAGCAAACAAGUUAUAAAACUAGGCAGAUUGUAAGACAAAUUUGAGGAAUACUGAUAGGAGCAUAUUUAUGCGCCUUAGUUAGCUAGUUCUUAUGCAUUUUCGUUAUGUUUUCUUCGUUAAAUUAGUCUUUUAAGCUACUCUCAUGUGUUUUCAGGUUUAAAGGACAUAUUACAUGAAAUGAUGCAAUUUGGAGCUUUUUGGAGCAAAAAGUGAGCUUGGAUUGAAAAGUACAUGCUUGGAACACAAGGUUGGGAUGAAAUUGAAGAUUUGAAGAUUUGAGGAUUCCUAGUACAAGAAGGAUUCCUAGUCCGAGGAGGAGUCCUAACUGAAGAAGGAUUCCUAAUCAACGAGGGAUUCCUAGUUGAAGAUGGAUUCCGAGAAGAACGAAGAUUCCUACUCAAACGAGGUUUCCUACUUGAAGUAGGAAAGCUA
Molecule: long non-coding RNA, 759 nt
Filed under: Malus domestica (apple)
Lineage: Eukaryota; Viridiplantae; Streptophyta; Magnoliopsida; Rosales; Rosaceae
Description: long non-coding RNA (MDOM_LNC020045)
Source: RNAcentral